RNAcentral lists this ribosomal RNA (276 nucleotides) under uncultured bacterium. Its description in RNAcentral is "partial 16S ribosomal RNA". It matches the Rfam family "Bacterial small subunit ribosomal RNA", at positions 523 to 798 of the family's 1533-position model. The record is from RNAcentral.
AUACGGAGGGUGCAAGCGUUAUUCGGAAUCAUUGGGUUUAAAGGGUCCGCAGGCGGUCAAUUAAGUCAGAGGUGAAAGCCCAUCGCUCAACGAUGGAACUGCCUGUGAUACUGGUUGACUUGAGUUAUACGGAAGUAGAUAGAAUAAGUAGUGUAGCGGUGAAAUGCAUAGAUAUUACUUAGAAUACCGAUUGCGAAGGCAGUCUACUACGUAUAUACUGACGCUGAGGGACGAAAGCGUGGGGAGCGAACAGGAUUAGAAACCCUAGUAGUCCCC